UCCAGGAUUGAUAGAAAUUGUCCUGUAUCCUGAUGAUCUGAAACUGCAGACAAAAAUGGAUGCCUGGCCUCCCAGAACAGGAGGGUCUCCUAGAGCUGUGAGCAGAAGCGGAGAGGACGCCAUGCCCCAAACGCUUGUGGGAUUAGGCUUGUUCCAGAGUGGUCAGGCCACGAUCUGGUGACCAGGUGGUGGAGGGCAGCCCUGUCGGCUCUCGGAGCCUGGCUCGGGCUAGCCCCCAGAUGAAGACUUGAAGGAUGAUUGGAAUUCUCCAGGAAGAGAUGACAGCACCAGUGAUGACUAAUGUUAUGAGUACAAACUGUUUUCACCACCACCAUCACCCCCAUUUUGUGUCUACUGUGUGUGAGCUGC
Molecule: long non-coding RNA, 369 nt
Organism: Hyaena hyaena (striped hyena)
Lineage: Eukaryota; Metazoa; Chordata; Mammalia; Carnivora; Hyaenidae
Exons: 3
Source: RefSeq, a predicted model, not a curated record